Molecule: unclassified non-coding RNA, 350 nt
Filed under: soil metagenome
Description: partial contains 5.8S ribosomal RNA, internal transcribed spacer 2, and large subunit ribosomal RNA
Rfam family: 5.8S ribosomal RNA (bases 1-120)
Source: RNAcentral
GAUGAAGAACGUAGCGAAAUGCGAUAAGUAAUGUGAAUUGCAGAAUUCCGUGAAUCAUCGAAUCUUUGAACGCACAUUGCGCCCCCUGGUAUUCCGGGGGGCAUGCCUGUCCGAGCGUCAUUGCAACCCUCAAGCGCGGCUUGUGUGUUGGGCCCUCGUCCCCCGUGGACGUGCCCGAAAUGCAGUGGCGGCGUCGUGUUCCGGUGCCCGAGCGUAUGGGGCUUUGUCACCCGCUCUUGAGGCCCGACCGGCUCCGGCCCAUCAACCAUCGAGGACCCGUUCCUCAACCAGGUUGACCUCGGAUCAGGUAGGGAUACCCGCUGAACUUAAGCAUAUCAAUAAGCGGAGGA